CGAAUCAAGCUUAUGGGACACUGGACUACAGGUUGCUGCCACUACUCCAUGUGCCCGCAAUUGUCUUGCGUGUAUGAUUACACUAACGACGUCGCCCACCACGGCGGAAGUGUUUUGCGUACACGCGUUUCAGCAUGAAGCCUGCAGGUGGACGUAAAUUGUAGAAGGCAGCUAGUGGGGGAGAAGAUCAUGGUCAUAGGUCAUAUGGCUCCUGGAGCUCCCAGUGGGCUCCCUUGUGGAGUACUUUUCAGAACACACACACAGUUCGCUCACAGAACCAACGAGUAGGAUGUUGCUUGAAUACUGAGAGAAAAUGGCGUAACACAUACAAAUAUCGUGUGACACAUAUGACAACAAAAACAUUUUUCACGAGGGAUGCAUGAAACACUGUCGCAAUAUUGUGUGCAUGAACCAUUGUGUGUGACACAAGCCGUGGGGGCACACCGCCUCGGACACAUUUUGGAAAGCAUAAAACACAGUAUAUACACAGCUAAUGUGGUGGAUGCUUCUUUUUUCUUUUUGGCCGUUAUGAGACAUCUUCGGCCGUAUUGAGACUUUGGCCGUAACGAGACACUUGGGGAUUAAAGGAUUUUCGGCCGUAAUGAGACUUUUGGCCGUAAUGAGACUCGGGCCGUAAUGAGACUUCGGCCGUAAUGAGAUGUUACCAACCACGAAACCAC
Ornithodoros turicata is the source of this 680-nucleotide long non-coding RNA. RefSeq lists it as uncharacterized. Lineage: Eukaryota; Metazoa; Arthropoda; Arachnida; Ixodida; Argasidae. The transcript is spliced from 3 exons. The record is from RefSeq and is a predicted model, not a curated record.